This 791-nucleotide non-coding RNA is filed under the name Pnyxia scabiei. The record is from RNAcentral. Lineage: Eukaryota; Metazoa; Arthropoda; Insecta; Diptera; Sciaridae.
AUAAAAUUUAAUUUUUAUUUAGUAAUUUAUUUUUAAAUUAUUUUAUAUAUAAAUUUUUGUAUUAAAUGAUUAAUAUUUUAAAAAUAUUAACUUAAUUUAUAUUUGUAGUAAUUAAUAUUAAUUAUUAAAAGAAAUUUUGAAUUAGUAAUUUAUUUAGUGUUAGUUAAAAUUGUGCCAGCAACUGCGGUUAGACAAUUAAUAUAAAUAAAUUUUUAAAAUUAAAGUUAAAUAAUAGUAUAGUUAGAUUAAUAUUAAAAUUUUUAAGUAAAAUUUUGAAUUUUUAUAAAAUUUAAAAUUAUUGAUGUUAUUGAGUCUUAUAAAAUUUUUUAAUAAACUAGGGUUAGAUAUCCUAUUAUAGAAAAAAUAAUAAUUAAUAUUUGAUGAGUAAUAGUUAAGUUCUUGAAAGUUAAUAAAUUUGGCGGUAUUUUAUUUUGUUUAGAGGAAUUUGUUAUUUAAUAGAUAGUGCUCAAUUAUCUUACUUAAUUUAUUAUAAUUUGUAUAUCGUCGUCAUAAGGAUAUUUUUAAAAAAAAUUAAUAUUCAGAAUUAAUAAAUUAUUAAAUAUGUCAGAUCAAGGUGCAGUUUAUUAUUGGGGGAUAAUGAAUUACAAUAAUAAUUUAAUUAAAUGAAUAAUUUGAUGAAAAUAGAUUUGAAGGUGGAUUUAAUAGUAAAUAAAUAUAUUAAUAUUUAUUGAUUUUAAUUUUAAAAUAUGUACAUAUUGCCCGUCACUUUCAUAAAUUUAUGAAAUAAGUCGUAACAUAGUAAAAGUACUGGAAAGUGUUUUUAGAUAUUC